AGGGUGUCCCUACCUUCCCAACAAAAUGCAGUUUGGAUUUGAAAAAAUAAAAUAACAGUUUCGCAUCGCUUCCAGAAUACUCAGGCUUGCGCUUUGGCGAAUCUCCGGGUCCAUGGUAUGCGCAAAGCUCUUCUUCAACACCACAUUUCAAGAGGCACUUUUGGCUCAGUUUCCAGAGUCUUGCAUGAAACAAUGCACUGCUACAUUGUUUGGUUGUUGCACUACACUUCGAAGGAUGGUGUAGCUACAACAGACUGAAAAUGGAGCCUGCCACUGUGCCAGUGGCUGCCUGAUGAUCCUGCUGUGCCAGCAGAGGGAGAGAAAAAAAUGCCAGCUCUCCAUGAAUUGCCAGCUCUCCUGCUGUGACAGCAGGUCUUGCUUGCUUGCUUGAUUUAAUGUCACCAAUUACCAUAUCUUUGUAAUUAUGAUCUAUGUCUGAUGAGGAUGGUGGAACCUUUAAGGCCUUGAGCAGAGGAUCUCAGUCUUAUAAGGUUAUAAUGCCUUCCAU
Rhineura floridana is the source of this 508-nucleotide long non-coding RNA. RefSeq lists it as uncharacterized. The record is from RefSeq and is a predicted model, not a curated record. NCBI's taxonomy places the organism in Eukaryota, Metazoa, Chordata, Lepidosauria, Squamata, Rhineuridae. The transcript has 4 exons.